CAUGUCUUGAUGGAAUUAUUAAUAUUAAGUCUAGCCUGCUCAAUGAUUUUAAAUUAAAUAGCCGCAGUAUUUUGACUGUGCGAAGGUAGCAUAAUCAUUUGUCUUUUAAUUGAAGGCUUGUAUGAAUGGUUGGAUGAGGGAAUAACUUUAUUUAUACUGUAAUAUUGAAUUUAAUUUUUUGGUUAAAAAGCUAAAAUUUUUAAAUGGGACGAGAAGACCCUAUAGAAUUUUAUUUUUCUUAUAAUUGUUUUAUAAUGGUAAUAGAAUGAAAUAAUUAUAAUUUAAAUUUUGUUGGGGUGACAGUGAGGUUUAUAUAACCCUCAUAUAUUUUAUUUUAUUUAUUUGUAUAUAUAUUGAUCCUUUAUUAGAGAUUAUUAGAUUAAAUUACCUUAGGGAUAACAGCGUAAUUUUUCUGGAGAGUUCUUAUCGAUGGAGAAGUUUGCGACCUCGAUGUUGGAUUAAAAUUAGAGUUAAGUGCAGAAGCUUAAUUUCUAGGUCUGUUCGA
This 505-nucleotide ribosomal RNA is filed under the name Sciocoris indicus. Its description in RNAcentral is "partial large subunit ribosomal RNA". It matches the Rfam family "Bacterial large subunit ribosomal RNA", at positions 1816 to 2584 of the family's 2925-position model. Lineage: Eukaryota; Metazoa; Arthropoda; Insecta; Hemiptera; Pentatomidae. The record is from RNAcentral.